This 397-nucleotide ribosomal RNA is filed under the name uncultured bacterium. RNAcentral describes it as "partial 16S ribosomal RNA". It matches the Rfam family "Bacterial small subunit ribosomal RNA", at positions 523 to 918 of the family's 1533-position model. The record is from RNAcentral.
AUACGUAGGUGACAAGCGUUAUCCGGAUUUACUGGGUGUAAAGGGCGUGUAGGCGGUUUGGCAAGUCAGAAGUGAAAUUCCCGGGCUUAACUUGGGCGCUGCUUCUGAAACUGCUUAACUUGAGUGCUGGAGAGGAUAGUGGAAUUCCUAGUGUAGCGGUAAAAUGCGCAGAUAUUAGGAGGAACACCGGUGGCGAAGGCGGAUAACUGGACAGUAACUGACGCUGAGGCGCGAAAGCACGGGGAGCAAACAGGAUUAGAUACCCUGGUAGUCCGUGCCGUAAACGAUGAAUACUAGGUGUAGGGGGUAUCGACUCCCUCUGUGCCGCAGUUAAAACAUUAAGUAUUCCACCUGGGGAGUACGGCCGCAAGGUUGAAACUCAAAUGAAUUGACGGGG